Molecule: unclassified non-coding RNA, 243 nt
Filed under: fungal sp.
Lineage: Eukaryota; Fungi
Description: partial internal transcribed spacer region
Rfam family: Eukaryotic small subunit ribosomal RNA (bases 1-46)
Source: RNAcentral
AAGUCGUAACAAGGUUUCCGUAGGUGAACCUGCGGAAGGAUCAUUAACACGUAUCCACGUAUCAACCAACGCGAAUUCGUUUUCAAUUUCUCCCUACACACUGUGUAGGCGUCAUUUUUACACCUUUUUAACCAAAUUUUUGCUAGUUGACUUUUUCUGCGUACAUUCGGCCGUUUGGUCGUCUGUCGACGUUUUCUUAAACGAAAAGUAAUACAACUCUUAGCAAUGGAUAUCUUGGUUCUC